AGGAACAUUUAAAUAACAGGAUGAGUUAUCAACCGAAAGAACUGCCAUCAUACUAAAGAAACUUCUUUACAAGAUGUUACAGUCCCACGUAAGAGAUCUAAAUUACACUUUUCCCCAAAUUCACAGUUCCAAGAAGGUGAAGUCAAACCGCAGUAGUUGUCAAAUAACUGCAGACUGUUUAUAUUCAUUAGAUAGCACAUGGGAGAGGUCAAUUUUUUUUUAUAUAAAGUACUUAGAAGACUCAAAACUACAGCACAGGGGAGAGGUUCAUUGUGUUGAUUGUCAACGUUGAAAAGCAAUCAGGACUGGAGGGUGAGAACAAAAUGACAAAGAGGAGAUGACGGAUUUAACAGAUCAAGAGAAUAAACGGGGAAGUCCUUACCAAAAAGAAAACAGGGAAGAAAAGUAUUCAAAUUUCAUUUUAGUGCAAUUAACAUGAGUUCACCUGGCCUCAGUGAGAUAAGCCACAUAACCUGCUUGAAGCAUCUAUAAUGCAGCUUUUUGACAUGAGUUAAAAGUUCUUACAUUGAGUAGUCACUACUUCCACUACUGAAUGAUUUAUACAGUCAAUACACACAAUUUGAGCCAAUCUAUUUCAAUACAAGAUGCGUCUAGGAGGUCAAAUGUGCAAUACCACGUAUUUUCCAAAAAAAAAAAA
Solanum pennellii is the source of this 658-nucleotide long non-coding RNA. RefSeq lists it as uncharacterized. The record is from RefSeq and is a predicted model, not a curated record. The transcript has 2 exons. Lineage: Eukaryota; Viridiplantae; Streptophyta; Magnoliopsida; Solanales; Solanaceae.